AAAGCUUCUCUUUGUAAAACUUCUUGGGUUUCCACUUUUGGUAGCUCUAAAGUAUUUCAGUAUGUGGGAGAUUACGAGUACAUAGAAGUGAUGAUGAACAAUAAAAGUGGCAAGCCAACAAGAAUUAUAGUAGAUAUGGAAUUCAGGUCUCAGUUUGAGGUGGCAAGGCCUACACAGACCUAUAAAGAACUCAUCACAACUCUUCCUUCAAUCUUUGUUGCCACUGAAGUUACACUUAACAAGAUAAUCUCUCUCGUAUGUUCAGCUGCAAAAGAAUCACUUAAAGAAAAGGGUCUCCAUAUUCCUCCAUGGAGAAAAGCUAAGUACAUGCAAUUAAAAUGGUUCUCCAAGAACUGCAAAAAAGUCUCUGUCUCCCCCAACACUGAAAUGGGUUUGCAGGAAAGUUUAGAGAAAGGUACCAUUACUACUUCUACUGCUACUACUACAUGUUGUCCUUCCAUAUUUCAGCUGAGGGGCAACUGCAAUUAGAGAACAGAGAUAGAGAAAGAGAUUACGGGUUCUGGGCAGUCCAAGGCCAAU
Molecule: unclassified non-coding RNA, 540 nt
Filed under: Hevea brasiliensis (rubber tree)
Lineage: Eukaryota; Viridiplantae; Streptophyta; Magnoliopsida; Malpighiales; Euphorbiaceae
Source: RNAcentral